Molecule: non-coding RNA, 255 nt
Organism: Vicia faba (fava bean)
Lineage: Eukaryota; Viridiplantae; Streptophyta; Magnoliopsida; Fabales; Fabaceae
Source: the annotation of a GenBank genome assembly
AUGAAAAUGAAGCAAGGAUUUGUGUUGCUUAUUUGGUGCAAAGCAUGUGCAAUUUCAGAUGUAUAUGUACAGGGAAGCAACAUGUUUUUGGACUAUUAUAAUGGACUGGUUUACAAGGCUGUUUUGCAGAUGAUGCAGGGCUGCAUAGGGGGUUUAUGGGAAGCAGCAAUAAGAGCUAUUUGUGCAGAAUUUUUGGACUCUUUUGCAGGGUACCAUUGCAGCAGGGUUUUUGUUGUUUUGUGGGCUGCAUUUUGA